This 380-nucleotide ribosomal RNA is filed under the name uncultured bacterium. RNAcentral's name for it is "bacterial SSU rRNA". It matches the Rfam family "Bacterial small subunit ribosomal RNA", at positions 32 to 391 of the family's 1533-position model. The record is from RNAcentral.
AAUCAACGCUGGCGGCGUGCCUCAGACAUGCAAGUCGAACGCGAAAGUUCCCUUCGGGGGAUGAGUAGAGUGGCGCACGGGUGAGUAACACGUAGGUAAUCUACCUUCGGAUGGGGAAUAACAACCGGAAACGGUUGCUAAUACCGCAUAAUGCAGCGGCACCUAAUGGUGACAGUUGUUAAAGCGGGGGAUCGAAAGACCUCGCGUCUGAAGAGGAGCCUGCGGCGGAUUAGCUAGUUGGUAGGGUAACGGCCUACCAAGGCUACGAUCCGUAGCCGGCCUGAGAGGGCGGUCGGCCACACUGACACUGACAUACGGGUCAGACUCCUACGGGAGGCAGCAGUCGGGAAUUUUGGGCAAUGGGCGAAAGCCUGACCCAG